GAUGAACGCUGACAGAAUGCUUAACACAUGCAAGUCAACUUGAAUUUGGGUUUUUAACUUAGGUUUGGGUGGCGGACGGGUGAGUAACGCGUAAAGAACUUGCCUCACAGCUAGGGACAACAUUUGGAAACGAAUGCUAAUACCUAAUAUUAUGAUAAUAGGGCAUCCUAUAAUUAUGAAAGCUAUAAGCGCUGUGAGAGAGCUUUGCGUCCCAUUAGCUAGUUGGAGAGGUAACGGCUCACCAAGGCGAUGAUGGGUAGCCGGCCUGAGAGGGUGAUCGGCCACAAGGGGACUGAGACACGGCCCUUACGCCUACGGGAGGCAACAGUGGGGAAUAUUGGACAAUGGACCAAGAGUCUGAUCCAGCAAUUCUGUGUGCACGAUGAAGUUUUUCGGAAUGUAAAGUGCUUUCAGUUGGGAAGAAAGAAAUGACGGUACCAACAGAAGAAGUGACGGCUAAAUACGUG
RNAcentral lists this ribosomal RNA (467 nucleotides) under uncultured bacterium. RNAcentral describes it as "partial 16S ribosomal RNA". It matches the Rfam family "Bacterial small subunit ribosomal RNA", at positions 28 to 507 of the family's 1533-position model. The record is from RNAcentral.